This is an unclassified non-coding RNA of Gorilla gorilla gorilla (western lowland gorilla), 269 nucleotides long. It matches the Rfam family "Metazoan signal recognition particle RNA". Rfam says of the family: The signal recognition particle (SRP) is a universally conserved ribonucleoprotein. It is involved in the co-translational targeting of proteins to membranes. The eukaryotic SRP consists of a 300-nucleotide 7S RNA and six proteins: SRPs 72, 68, 54, 19, 14, and 9. Lineage: Eukaryota; Metazoa; Chordata; Mammalia; Primates; Hominidae. The record is from Ensembl.
UCUACCCAGUAUUUCCCUGCCUCCUGUCCAUCUCAGGAGAACCACUUGAGCCCAGGAGUUCUGGGCUAUAGUGCUCUAUGAUGAGGUGUCUGCACUAAAUUUGGCAUCAAUGUGGUGACCUCCCCAGAGUGGGGACUGCCAGGUUGCCUAAGGAGGGGUGAACUGACCCAGGUUGGAAACAGAGCAGAUGAAAAAUUCCUGGGCUAAUCAGUAGUGGAAUUUCACCUGUUAACAGCCACUGCCCUCCAGCCUGGACAAUACAGCAAGAU